GUGAAUCUGGAUUGGGAAAGUCGACAUUAAUCAACUCAUUAUUCCUCACAGAUUUGUAUUCUCCAGAGUAUCCAGGUCCUUCUCAUAGAAUUAAAAAGACUGUACAGGUGGAACAAUCCAAAGUUUUAAUCAAAGAAGGUGGUGUUCAGUUGCUGCUCACAAUAGUUGAUACCCCAGGAUUUGGAGAUGCAGUGGAUAAUAGUAAUUGCUGGCAGCCUGUUAUCGACUACAUUGAUAGUAAAUUUGAGGACUACCUAAAUGCAGAAUCACGAGUGAACAGACGUCAGAUGCCUGAUAACAGGGUGCAGUGUUGUUUAUACUUCAUUGCUCCUUCGGGACAUGGGUCAGUACCUUGAUACUUCUGAUUCCUUUUUUGUUGUUGUUGCUUACUGUUACUUUUAUGUGCAUACUUUAGUAAUCUUUAAGUUUGUGAAGUACAACUGUACGCAUUAUGAAGUACUAAAUUUCAUGUAGAAAUGUCUUAGUUGAAAAGCCUUUUGAAGUCCUAUAUAAGCUAACAGUGAUUUUACUCCUUAGUUCUUCAUUCAUAAGGAUUUUCCCUGCUUCAUGAAAUAAACAGUGUUGCCACCAUGGUUUGAGGUCUCAGUGUGGCAAAUUUAGCUUUCAUGUUGACCACUCUGCUACUAAUAGAAAUACCAAAUAAAGAGAAGCAGCCAUACCA
This 682-nucleotide small RNA is filed under the name Pongo abelii (Sumatran orangutan). Its description in RNAcentral is "retained intron". The record is from RNAcentral. Lineage: Eukaryota; Metazoa; Chordata; Mammalia; Primates; Hominidae.